CCUUAUCGGGUUACCGAAUUCAGACAAACUCCGAAUGCCAAAUAAUUUAACUUGGGAGUCAGACUAUGGGUGAUAAGGUCCGUAGUCGAAAGGGAAACAGCCCAGACCACCAGCUAAGGUCCCAAAAUAUAUGUUAAGUGGAAAAGGAUGUGGCGUUGCCCAGACAACUAGGAUGUUGGCUUAGAAGCAGCCAUCAUUUAAAGAGUGCGUAAUAGCUCACUAGUCGAGUGACACUGCGCCGAAAAUGUACCGGGGCUAAACAUAUUACCGAAACUGUGGAUCCGUAAGGAUGGUAGGAGAGCGUUCUAUAUGCAGCGAAGCCAAACCGAGAGGGAAAGUGGAGCGUAUAGAAGUGAGAAUGCCGGUGUGAGUAGCGAAAGAUGGGUGAGAAUCCCAUCCACCGAUUGACUAAGGUUUCCAGAGGAAGGCUCGUCCGCUCUGGGUUAGUCGGGUCCUAAGCUGAGGCCGAUAGGCGUAGGCGAUGGAUAACAGGUUGAUAUUCCUGUACCACCAUUAUUCGUUUUAAGCGAUGGGGGGACGCAGUAGGAUAGGCGAAGCGUGCUGUUGGAGUGCACGUCCAAGCAAUAAGACUGAGUGUUAGGCAAAUCCGGCACUCUUAAGAUUGAACUGUGAUGGGGAGAGGAAAUUGUUUCCUCGAGUCGUUGAUUUCACACUGCCAAGAAAAGCCUCUAGCUAGAAUUGUGGUGCCCGUACCGCAAACCGACACAGGUAGUCAAGAUGAGAAUUCUAAGGUGAGCGAGCGAACUCUCGUUAAGGAACUCGGCAAAAUGACCCCGUAACUUCGGGAGAAGGGGUGCUCUUUAGGGUUAACGCCCAGGAGAGCCGCAGUGAAUAGGCCCAAGCGACUGUUUAUCAAAAACACAGGUCUCUGCUAAACCGUAAGGUGAUGUAUAGGGGCUGACGCCUGCCCGGUGCUGGAAGGUUAAGAGGAGUGGUUAGCUUCUGCGAAGCUACGAAUCGAAGCCCCAGUAAACGGCGGCCGUAACUAUAACGGUCCUAAGGUAGCGAAAUUCCUUGUCGGGUAAGUUCCGACCCGCACGAAAGGCGUAACGAUUUGGGCACUGUCUCAACGAGAGACUCGGUGAAAUCAUAGUACCUGUGAAGAUGCAGGUUACCCGCGACAGGACGGAAAGACCCCGUGGAGCUUUACUGUAGUCUGAUAUUGAAAUUCGGCACAGCUUGUACAGGAUAGGUAGGAGCCUGAGAUACGUGAGCGCUAGCUUACGUGGAGGCGUUGGUGGGAUACUACCCUCGCUGUGUUGGAUUUCUAACCCGCACCAUUUAUCAUGGUGGGAGACAGUGUCAGAUGGGCAGUUUGACUGGGGCGGUCGCCUCCUAAAGAGUAACGGAGGCGCUCAAAGGUUUCCUCAGAAUGGUUGGAAAUCAU
This 1408-nucleotide ribosomal RNA is filed under the name Dunaliella tertiolecta. RNAcentral describes it as "partial Bacterial large subunit ribosomal RNA". It matches the Rfam family "Bacterial large subunit ribosomal RNA", at positions 926 to 2341 of the family's 2925-position model. Lineage: Eukaryota; Viridiplantae; Chlorophyta; Chlorophyceae; Chlamydomonadales; Dunaliellaceae. The record is from RNAcentral.